Molecule: ribosomal RNA, 429 nt
Filed under: Acidobacteriota bacterium
Lineage: Bacteria; Pseudomonadati; Acidobacteriota
Description: Acidobacteria bacterium partial 16S ribosomal RNA
Rfam family: Bacterial small subunit ribosomal RNA
Source: RNAcentral
UAGGGAAUCUUCCACAAUGGACGAAAGUCUGAUGGAGCAACGCCGCGUGAGUGAAGAAGGGUUUCGGCUCGUAAAACUCUGUUGUUAAAGAAGAACAUAUCUGAGAGUAACUGUUCAGGUAUUGACGGUAUUUAACCAGAAAGCCACGGCUAACUACGUGCCAGCAGCCGCGGUAAUACGUAGGUGGCAAGCGUUGUCCGGAUUUAUUGGGCGUAAAGCGAGCGCAGGCGGUUUUUUAAGUCUGAUGUGAAAGCCUUCGGCUCAACCGAAGAAGGGCAUCGGAAACUGGGAAACUUGAGUGCAGAAGAGGACAGUGGAACUCCAUGUGUAGCGGUGAAAUGCGUAGAUAUAUGGAAGAACACCAGUGGCGAAGGCGGCUGUCUGGUCUGUAACUGACGCUGAGGCUCGAAAGUAUGGGUAGCAAACAGG